RNAcentral lists this unclassified non-coding RNA (344 nucleotides) under plant metagenome. Its description in RNAcentral is "partial contains small subunit ribosomal RNA, internal transcribed spacer 1, and 5.8S ribosomal RNA". The record is from RNAcentral.
UUUCCGUAGGUGAACCUGCGGAAGGAUCACUAUUGAAUAUUCUUGAUGGGUUGUAGCUGGCUCUCCGGGGCAUGUGCACACUUGUCUUGACUUUAUUCGUCCACCUGUGCACCUUUUGUAGUCUUGGGGGUUGAGAGCAAGUCGACUAUCGGAUGGCUAAGGCCUUUCCGGACGUGAGGAUUGCUGAGUGCGAAAGCAUACAGCUCUUCUUAAAUGACUUGUAAUACCUCUCCCUCAAGUACUAUGUAUCCAUAUACCACAUAGUAUGUUGUAGAAUGUGAUCAAUGGGCCUAUGUGCCUAUAAUAAUGAUAUACAACUUUCAGCAACGGAUCUCUUGGCUCUC